CAUUUUCUUUGGAAUCGAAGGCCAAUCAGAUAUGAUUUAUUCCAUAUGAUUCUGCAUUCCAUCUGGUUAAGCAGAUUGAGCCAGAUUCAAAUCCCAGAAUCCUAGUAUAUGUUUAACAAGUGCUCUAGAGGAUGUUAACUUCUCAAAAUAGGUUUAGUUCGAAUGAGGAGCUGUUUAGAGCAAGACUAGUGACUAAGAUGCAAGUCCAAGAAGGGAAGCGACUGCUAAUAUUAUGAAGGACUUCAACCAGCACUGGGUGCCUGCAACAGUUGUUUCAUGGUUAGUGUCCCGAGUUCUUUGAACUGAAACAUGGAUGAAUAUUUUCUGGGAUGACGGGGUUGGAUGCCAAACUGAAAAUUCUUACUGCAGCAAAUCUGAUAUAAAGAGCAUAAAGGUGAGGCUAGGGGCGAUUAAGAAGAAGAGGAACGCUGUGCUGAAGUAUCUGAAGAAUAAUGUUGCUGUUCUUCUCAAGAUUGGCCUUGAUAUUAAUGUAUAUGGAGGGUUAAGUUUCAUGGCUCAUUAGUUUUAAUGUAUAUGAUGUGUCAAUUUCAUCAUUGUUUUGCUUGGCCUUAAUAGAAAUUAAUACAAUUCCCUAAUAUUUAAAGUACAUUUGAAUUUCA
Molecule: long non-coding RNA, 620 nt
Organism: Rosa chinensis
Lineage: Eukaryota; Viridiplantae; Streptophyta; Magnoliopsida; Rosales; Rosaceae
Exons: 2
Source: RefSeq, a predicted model, not a curated record